Molecule: ribosomal RNA, 465 nt
Filed under: Vreelandella stevensii
Lineage: Bacteria; Pseudomonadati; Pseudomonadota; Gammaproteobacteria; Oceanospirillales; Halomonadaceae
Description: partial 16S ribosomal RNA
Rfam family: Bacterial small subunit ribosomal RNA
Source: RNAcentral
CCUACGGGUGGCUGCAGUGGGGAAUAUUGGACAAUGGGCGAAAGCCUGAUCCAGCCAUGCCGCGUGUGUGAAGAAGGCCUUCGGGUUGUAAAGCACUUUCAGUGGGGAAGAAAGCCUUGGGGCUAAUACCCUCGAGGAAGGACAUCACCCACAGAAGAAGCACCGGCUAACUCCGUGCCAGCAGCCGCGGUAAUACGGAGGGUGCGAGCGUUAAUCGGAAUUACUGGGCGUAAAGCGCGCGUAGGCGGUCUGAUAAGCCGGUUGUGAAAGCCCCGGGCUCAACCUGGGAACGGCAUCCGGAACUGUCAGGCUAGAGUGCAGGAGAGGAAGGUAGAAUUCCCGGUGUAGCGGUGAAAUGCGUAGAGAUCGGGAGGAAUACCAGUGGCGAAGGCGGCCUUCUGGACUGACACUGACGCUGAGGUGCGAAAGAGUGGGUAGCAAACAGGAUUAGAUACCCGAGUAGUC